This 228-nucleotide ribosomal RNA is filed under the name uncultured bacterium. Its description in RNAcentral is "partial 16S ribosomal RNA". It matches the Rfam family "Bacterial small subunit ribosomal RNA", at positions 568 to 795 of the family's 1533-position model. The record is from RNAcentral.
UCCGUAGGCGGGUUUAUAAGUCAGUGGUGAAAGUUUGCGGCUCAACCGUAAAAUUGCCAUUGAUACUGUAGAUCUUGAAUUAGUGUGAAGUGGUUAGAAUAAGUAGUGUAGCGGUGAAAUGCAUAGAUAUUACUUAGAAUACCAAUUGCGAAGGCAGAUCACUAACACUAUAUUGACGCUGAUGGACGAAAGCGUGGGGAGCGAACAGGAUUAGAUACCCUGGUAGUC